CAGCAAAUUUGCUGACAUUUGGUAACACAAACUCCAGUUUUCUCCUGAGCUAGCAACUUUUUCUGCAGGGACUUUACUGAGCUGCCACUGGACUUAGCUGCUGGAGAUCUGAAAGUGCACUGGCUUGAGAUAUACAUUUUCUACCAGAAAUCAUGAAGCAUUCCUAAAGACGGCAACUACGAUGAUGCAAAUACGAACGCCACUUCAGUUCCUGUUACGUGUUAUUGAAGCACUGAUGGCUCUCCGUUUACCUCUUCAUUACAAAUCUCGCAGCAACCGACAAACAGCAUGGCUGCAGGAGUGCUUUUAGCUAUUUUGCCCCUAAAAAGUUCCCUGACAUGAUUCUUGAAGGAUGCACCCAGAGAAAUUCACAUUGAAGUCUUUUACAGAGUAUGAGAUAGAAAAUACUACAUGAAAAUUCUAUCCUGGAUCCUGAAUCUUCUCUUUGACUCAGAUUCUUCAAGCUCCUAUUGGAAGCUGUUAGAAAGUCCAAAGUUUUAGGUUCUCUCUUUUGGGACUUCAUGUUAUGCUGAUAAAGAAAUUUUCAUACACACAGAAUAGAGCACAGCUUUUCUUCUGUUGCAGUGUAUCUCAUGCUACCUGUUUUGAGGAGUGGUACACUUGCAGUUGGUAGUGUUAUAUAUUUUUAUCAUGUUAUUGCAUUAUUAAAUCUUUUUCUGAUUAUGCUGGUAAACCCAAGGAAUUAUUGUACAAAUGGCAAAAUAAGUAGUAGGAACAAAAGUGGUAUGAAGCAAUCAUCCUGUUUUCAUUCCAAAGUUCAAAGAACUGAAGCUGUCAAGGAAUGAAAAUAUGGAGAAUAUAUGAUGUAUAAAACUGCUUCUGAGCAGAAUAUUUUUCAGGAAGGUUUAUCUGUUUUUUAAAAUGAUUGAGCAAGGGACAGCUGUAGA
Non-coding RNA from Struthio camelus australis, 908 nucleotides. The record is from RefSeq and is a predicted model, not a curated record. Lineage: Eukaryota; Metazoa; Chordata; Aves; Struthioniformes; Struthionidae.